UUUUUUGGUAUUUCGUUGGGGAUAUACCCCAAUGGAGGAAGGCGGUGCAUGCCUCUCAACCCCCCAGACGGCUGGUAGAGAGAUACCCAAUUCUUUCAAGGAGGAGACCCAACAACGGGGCUGAGGGUGUCGGAAAGAGCCCACCUUUCCACCCCCAUGGUAACUGAUAGGUCUCGAACCCACGCCCCAGCAACCCGCCGAAGCGCAAGGUAGAGACUCUACCACGGGACACGGGAGCCCCCAAGAUUGGUGACUAAAAUACAAAUUACUACAAGCAUUAACAUCAAAUUUACUGUUUGCUGUUAGCUUGUAGCAUUUAUUCUUUUCAACCCACUCAAAUAAUAGGCUACGUACUUAAACAAAUGCAUAUCAUAUAUGAUACUAUGAGCAUGUUACAAUCAAAUAACGGGAAAACGUAAGUUCUCUGACACGUACAAGACGUGACUCACUGAGCGCUGCGUGGGUGGCAUCCUAUCCUAUCGUUGGACUUGACUUAAGCUUAGUGUAUCAAUCAUUCACGUAACUAAAUGGAUUGUUAUGCGAGAAUUAGUGAUUCUCAUAAAAAAUUAAAAAAUAAGAUAAAAAUAAAAAUAUGUAUUGCAUUAUACUAGACUGGUGAUAAAUCACUUUGUUUUCGUAGUUUUAUAAUGAAUGCAUCAAGAUUCAGACAGCAGCCAGUACCGCCAGUUCGGAUAACAACUAUUUUCUGAAGUUAUACGCGUCCGCCCAGGUGACAAGCUCGCUCACACGCUUCUUAUCACAUCAUCAACACUCAGCACCACGGUGAGCUCGAUCUCCUCCUGCCGUGACCUACUGAGAAAGCUUUCUCCACGACUUAAGAGGAAACACACAUCGAGAUCAUGGCGUCAAAAUCAUGUUCGGUGUGCCUAAACCCUUGGGAUCGUGAGGAUCAUCUUCCAGUGGCAUUGCCUGCUUGUGGACACAGCUUCUGCAGGAAUUGUCUUGUAGUGAUGUAUAGAAAUGACGAGUGUAUUAGGUGUCCCACAUGCAGGUCAGUAUCACUUGUGCUGCACUAACCUUUCAUAGUGUUCUUUAUUAGAAUCGACUACAUGUCUAAAUCACUCAUACCAGGACUCAGUUGAAGUUUGAAGAUCUAGAAAUUUAUAUAGUCAUUUGUAAGCUAAUAAUACAAGAUACGUGUAUACAGUACCCUCCUGAGUUUCGUGCUAUCUGAGUGUCGCGAUCCGAGAGUUUCGAAGUUAAUCCUAAAUUCUUACCACCCCGACUUUUGCGCAUUAUUACCCCAAGUUUUGCUCUGCUUUGACAUGUACGGAUCAUGUCUACUUACCAAUGGCAUCACGCGUGCUACCUUAAAAAGACAGUGUCACACUGGACGUUUUCCUCCAAACAUUGGGGAGAGAGAGAGAGAGAGAGAGAGAGAGAGAGAGAGAGAGAGAGAGAGAGAGAGAGAGAGACUUAUUAAAUGAUGAAGCUAGAGUUGGGGAGAGUGGGAGGGGGGAGGAUGUGAGGGACUCCUGUCCAAGUAGAGUCUCAAAAUACAUACGUACCUUGGAAAAAGGAAGAAAAUGGGAAGAGAGGACGGGUCGUUUUGAAGCCGCAGUUGAAGGUGGCUGCCUUAUGAUUGGCUGACAGUUCUGAAAACACACUUGUGAUUCGCUGGGAGUCCGAUGAUGUCAUCGCCGGCACUCACCCAAUCAGCAGCCUCACUGCCAUGAGGCGGUGUCACACUGGCUGUUUUCCUCCAAAUGUUGGGGCUACUGGCAACGCCUGUACGCCCAACCGGGAGCGAGUUGACCGUUAUCCGUAAGCUGGUGUCACACAGGGCCUUUUUCUUCCCACUGCGUUGGUGGCAGGCAGGUUGGGCAACCGGUAACUCCAACUUUUCUGGGUGUGCGUCACACACGGCCAAGGUCAGUUGCCCGCAUCCACAUCCACAAUGUAAACAAAGCACUUGCCUCGUAUUGACAUGGCGUCGUUUGCUAAAGUAAGGGCUGUCGCGGCUUGUGCUGCCAUUAGCCCAUUACCCAAGUUAUGGACUUGUUGCUGCAGUUAAAUGGAAGGAAGAAGCGGUUGUGGGUGUGGUGUGCCUGUGGUUCCUCUGUGCCAGAAGUUCUCAUUUUCACCACUGUGCAUGCGUGGCCAACCUACCCAUCUAGACUCCGGCCACAUAAACGCAAAGAUCGAAUAACAACACACACACACACACACACACACACACACACACACUGGUUUAAUGCAAGGUGUGCUAAGGCAAAAGAAAAAAAGAGACAAAGCAUGGAAAAGAUUAAAAAGAAACAUAAACCAUAGGAAUAAAGAAGAUUUUAAGAUAGCAAGAAAUGAAUACGUGAAAAUAAGGAAGGAAGAAGAGAAGGGAUAUGAAUAGGAUAUUGUGGAAAAGUGCAAGGAACAACCUAAACUAUUUUAUAGAUUCAUAAAUGUAAAGAUUAAACCAAGAGAAACAAUUGAAAGACUGAGCGAUAGGAAUGUGACAGUCAAUGAACCUCAAGACAUGGCGGAGUUACUAAACAAAAAGUUCCAGCAAGUUUUUACUAAUGAACCAAUAUUUAAUGAUCCACAAGAAAACAAGAUCAAUGUUCAUAUGGAAAAAGUUACAGUAAAUAAAGAGGAGAUAUAUGAAUUGUUGGAGGAGCUGGAAGAGAGGAAAGCUGUAGGACCAGAUGGAGUCUCAGGGUAUAUACAGGUAACUCUCGAUUUACGCGAGUUUGGUUUACGCGUUUUUUAAAUAAUGCGGGGUCUAAAAUCCAAAUAAAUGUUUAAUUCACACGCUUUUUUCACUUAUACUCGAUAUUUUAUGGAGUGGUCACCAGAUGUCUCACGCAACUGGACUACACGGCGCCAUGGCCACACAGCUGAGCUCAGUCCUUCCCGCGCGCCACUUGAACAACUUGAACAACAAUACAGUAUCCACGCUGCCAUGAUACUCAACAAUAGGGGUGGAACAACUUGAACAACAAUACAGUACCCACGCUGCCAUGAUACUCAACAAUAGGGGUGGAACAACUUGAACAACAAUACAGUACCCACGCUGCCAUGAUACUCAACAAUAGGGGUGGAACAACUUGAACAACAAUACAGUACCCACGCUG
Molecule: long non-coding RNA, 3089 nt
Organism: Eriocheir sinensis (Chinese mitten crab)
Lineage: Eukaryota; Metazoa; Arthropoda; Malacostraca; Decapoda; Varunidae
Exons: 2
Source: RefSeq, a predicted model, not a curated record